Molecule: ribosomal RNA, 224 nt
Filed under: uncultured bacterium
Lineage: Bacteria
Description: partial 16S ribosomal RNA
Rfam family: Bacterial small subunit ribosomal RNA
Source: RNAcentral
GAGUAACACGUGAGCAACCUGCCCUUGGCUCUGGGAUAGCCUCCGGAAACGGGGAUUAAUACCGGACAUGACCUGCUUCUGCAUGGGAGCGGGUGGAAAGUUUUUCGGCCAGGGAGGGGCUCGCGGCCUAUCAGCUUGUUGGGGGGGUAACGGCCCACCAAGGCGACGACGGGUAGCCGGCCUGAGAGGGCGACCGGCCACACUGGGACUGAGACACGGCCCAG